UACAGAGGUGCCAAGCGUUGUCCGGAUUGACUGGGCGUAAAGCGCACGCAGGCGGAUGCGCGCGUGGGGUGUGAAAUCUGGCCGCUUAACGGCCAGGCGCCAUCCCAUACGGCGCGUCUGGAGUGAUGCAGAGGUCGGUGGAAUUGCCGGUGUAGAGGUGAAAUGCGUAGAGAUCGGCAGGAACACCCAGGGGGAAACCAGCCGACUGGGCAUCUACUGACGCUGAGGUGCGAGAGCGUGGGGAGCGAACCGG
This 253-nucleotide ribosomal RNA is filed under the name uncultured bacterium. Its description in RNAcentral is "partial 16S ribosomal RNA". It matches the Rfam family "Bacterial small subunit ribosomal RNA", at positions 524 to 776 of the family's 1533-position model. The record is from RNAcentral.